Molecule: long non-coding RNA, 1513 nt
Filed under: Equus asinus (donkey)
Lineage: Eukaryota; Metazoa; Chordata; Mammalia; Perissodactyla; Equidae
Description: lncRNA (ENSEASG00005026079.1)
Source: RNAcentral
UGAGCUGGAAAAAGGAGCGGAUGAGUGAAACUAGUCUGCUCCAAGAGUGUCUUCCCUUUGUGGGGGAGAGAUGCUUGCCUGAGCCCGUGGCCAGGGCAUCUGGCCUUUUAUCUGUGCUUUCUCUGUGAUGAGUCGGUCACUAGCAGAGGUGCUGUGUGGAUCCUGUCUCAGAGGUCUUAUUUCCUAGAGAAGUUCCUAUUCCAGAACAGUCCUUUACAACACAGAGAAUUAAGUGCUGAAGUCGGAAACAUUUUAGAUCAGCCUCAAAGGAUGCAGGAACUGUGGGGCCAGCUUCUAUGUAAAAGGCAUUUUUGAGUUUGUUUGGUGAGGCAUGACCCAAAAAGAGCAUGGGGACCGACCCCCAGCAGGCACUCCUGCCCGUGGAUCUCUGCUCAAGCUGUUCCCUCGGUCUGGAGGGCCCUUCCCUCCAUAUCUGCCUGUGGAAGACUAGCUGCCUUCAGGACCCAGCUUCCAAGAAGAUUUUCUGGGACCCUCCUCCAGUGGGAAUUAACCUUGUUCUCCGGCGCUGCACAUGGCUUGUGCCAUUCGCCACUGACAACUUUGCUUCGGGGCUCUUGUCGUCUUAGAGCCGUGUAGCUGCUUUCUUCAAUGUUUGGAUUGCCUAGACAGUGGUUGUCAGCGCUGACUGCACAUGAGACUCACGUGGGGAGCUCUAGACUCAUCUGGCCCCGUGGAAACCAGCAUCAGUGUUGUUUACAAGCUCCCCAGGUGAUGCUAAUGUGCAGCCUGGAGUGAGAGCCAUGGACUGAGACCUCUUCCGACUUCCUCCAUGGAAUUUUUCUUGCGGUCUGUUCUUGCAACCCACAGGCCCCCUUCCCUCACAACCCCAAAGGAAAGAUGAGUUUCCAUUAAGACAAGACCUUAGCUUUGACUUGACGUCUUAAGCAGAUGGUGGCAGACCUAAUUCACAGUGUCAGCGGGGUCCUGAAUUUCUAUUCCAGCCCUUACGGCCAACUGGCAGCCUGGACUGGAGUGAGUGACAGAUGUCUCCUGAGCAGGACAGACAGGCAAAGCCUGCCGGAGGGGAUGCUGGAGAAAAUGGUCAUGUGGAACCUUCCAGCUGGUCCGACUGGUCAUUGUGUCUGCUCCGAGAAAGUGUGAAAGCGUCACUUCCUGUGCCAGGACUUCCCUCUGAGAGCCAAGAGCUGGAGCGAUGUGCCAGGGACCAGCCUGGAUGAUGCGUGAAGUCUCUUGGGAGAGAUGGCUGGAAGGCAAGAUUCACAAGACAGAAAACAGAGAUGACCCUGAAGUUGAAAGGCUUGAACCUAGCUGGGUGAUGGAUUACCCCGAGACCGCCCUGAUUUUGUUCUCUAAUUACUGUGUUUAUUUGGUGCGUCAUAUUGGGCCUGAAACCCUUAAUACCAGCCGGUGCUGUUCAUUGUUACGAUGUCCUAAUUAAGCUUUGAUUUAUAUGCUAAUUUUAUUCCAAGUGUGUUCGAAAGGGGGAAAGUUAUUAGACUUUAUUUUGAGAUUACAUUUUAAUCCUGGGGUC